RNAcentral lists this ribosomal RNA (365 nucleotides) under uncultured bacterium. RNAcentral's name for it is "partial 16S ribosomal RNA". It matches the Rfam family "Bacterial small subunit ribosomal RNA", at positions 338 to 700 of the family's 1533-position model. The record is from RNAcentral.
CCUACGGGAGGCAGCAGUGAGGAAUAUUGGUCAAUGGGCGCGAGCCUGAACCAGCCAAGUAGCGUGAAGGAUGACUGCCCUACGGGUUGUAAACUUCUUUUAUAAAGGAAUAAAGUGAGGCACGUGUGCAAGUUUGUAUGUACUAUAUGAAUAAGGAGCGGUUAACUCCGUGCCAGCAGCCGCGGUAAUACGGAGGAUCCGAGCGUUAUCCGGAUUUAUGGGGUUUAAAGGGCGCGUAGAGGGGUUUUUAUGUCAGUGGUGAAAGUUGGCGGCUCAACCGUACAAUUGCAAUUGAUACUGGCAGUCUUGAGUACAGUUGAGGUAGGCGGACUUCGUGGUGUAGCGGUGAAAUGCUUAGAUAUCAC